CCCUUAGAUGUUCUGGGCUGCACGCGCGCUACACUGAAGCUAUCAACACGUUUUCCCUCCCUGAGAAGGGCGGGUAACCUUUUGAAUCAGCUUCGUGGUAGGGAUCGGGGCUUGCAAUUGUUCCCCGUGAACCAGGAAUUCCUAGUAGACGCGAGUCAUAAGCUCGCAUCGAUUAAGUCCCUGCCCUUUGUACACAACGCCCGUCGCUACUACCGAUUGAACGUUUUAGUGAGGCAUUUGGACCGACGCAUCUCAGUUUAACCGCUGGUUUGUGUUGGAAAGACUUCCAAACUUGAGCGUUUAGAGGAAGUAAAAGUCGUAACA
This 324-nucleotide ribosomal RNA is filed under the name uncultured eukaryote. Its description in RNAcentral is "partial 18S ribosomal RNA". It matches the Rfam family "Eukaryotic small subunit ribosomal RNA", at positions 1470 to 1796 of the family's 1831-position model. The record is from RNAcentral.